AAGGAGGGGAAUUUACGGGUCUGCUUUUUGUGUUUGCUUCUCCCUCAGCUGUCUCUGCGGGCAUUAGAAUCUAAUGCUGGGAGAUCACCUUCCAGGAUCAAAUUAUUACAAGAAUACGGAGAAUAAAAGCCCUAAGCACUGUCUCCCUCCCCGGCUAAACCCACACGUUUAAAGGAGGGUCCCAGGCUAUGCAGAAAUGGACCACCGAUAUGAAGACAACCCUUCCUGGGAAAACCAAACCGCACCUGCUUCCCCCCAAGGAGAGAUAGAAGACCCUCCCUGUGAGUGUCCAGAUCGUGGAGUAAGAGCCGUAAAACCAGAAGUGCCACAAUCCAUGGAAAGCCAGACACCGCAUUGUUUCAGUGAAACCACCAAGUCUAUCUGAAAGCUUGUUUUUACCGUUGAUUGGAAGUGGUGAAGGUUUCUGAUACGAACGCAGUGGCUAGGAGCAGCAGUGCUGUCUGUGGCAGACGGACGCUUUCGAUUUUAAUCAUGAGUGGCGGAAGGAAGCGGCCGGGGCUGGAGAAUCGAGCUGGAGAAAAAGUGACAGGGAAAGGACUGUCGUGAUAGAAUUGAUGUCAGAGAUCUCCUGUGGCAUCAUCAACACCUUUCCUGAGAGAAUGGUGAGAUAUCAGUCUGGUCAACCCUUCGAGAUCAUAAUGGAAUGGACAAUUUAUGGUAAUUAAAAAUUUAAUGAUGAUUUAACAUUUUAUAAGGAGUGAUAAUAAUAAUAGUGGUAUUUGUUAAGCUCUAUGUGCCAGGCACUGUACUGAACACUGGGGUAGAUACAAACUAAUGAGGUUGAACACAGUCCCUGUCCCACAGUCUUAAUCCCCAUUUUAUAGAUGAGGUAAUGAAGGCACAGAGAAGUGGAGUGACUUGCCCAAGGUCACACAGCAGACAAGUGGCAGAGCUGGGAUCAAAAUCCAGAACCUUCUGAUUCCCAGGACUGGACUCUAUCCCCUAGGCCACGCUGCUUCUCCACACGAUGAUAAGUUUAGCACCAGUAAGCGCCUUGUGGAGAGAGUAGACAUUUUGGACUUCUACUGUACUUUCCCAAGCAUUUAGUGCAGCAUGUUGUACCCAG
RNAcentral lists this long non-coding RNA (1087 nucleotides) under Ornithorhynchus anatinus (platypus). RNAcentral describes it as "lncRNA (ENSOANG00000041682.1)". Lineage: Eukaryota; Metazoa; Chordata; Mammalia; Monotremata; Ornithorhynchidae. The record is from RNAcentral.